This 70-nucleotide transfer RNA is filed under the name Tettigonia chinensis. RNAcentral describes it as "tRNA-Val". Lineage: Eukaryota; Metazoa; Arthropoda; Insecta; Orthoptera; Tettigoniidae. The record is from RNAcentral.
CAAAGUAAAGCUUAUAGUCAAGCAUUUCAUUUACAUUGAAGGGAAAUUCGUGCGAUUCGAAUUAUUUUGA